UAAAAGGGCCUUUGUUGUGAGUGACACACGGAGCUCGUGAGGGUACCGUGCGGAAUCGCUAUCAAGAGAUUUCGGAGGCACAAUUUGUGACGCACGGUGGCAGUCGGUGCUCGUUCAGGCCUGGCGCCCCA
Molecule: small nuclear RNA, 131 nt
Organism: Ostrea edulis (European flat oyster)
Lineage: Eukaryota; Metazoa; Mollusca; Bivalvia; Ostreida; Ostreidae
Product: U11 spliceosomal RNA
Exons: 1
Source: RefSeq, a predicted model, not a curated record